UCCGCCAGGGAACUACAAGCGCCAGCUUAAAACCCAAAGGACUUGACGGUGUCUCAGACCCACCUAGAGGAGCCUGUUCUAGAACCGAUAAUCCCCGUUCAACCUCACCACCCCUUGUCCCCUCCCGCCUAUAUACCGCCGUCGCAAGCUUACCCUGUGAAGGUUUAACAGUAAGCAAAAUGGGCAGACCCCAGAACGUCAGGUCGAGGUGUAGCUCACGAGGUGGAAAGAAAUGGGCUACAUUUUCUACCACAGAAAACUACGGACGACACCAUGAAACCGGUGUCCCAAGGUGGAUUUAGCAGUAAAAG
Molecule: ribosomal RNA, 311 nt
Filed under: Hepsetus odoe (African pike characin)
Lineage: Eukaryota; Metazoa; Chordata; Actinopteri; Characiformes; Hepsetidae
Description: partial small subunit ribosomal RNA
Rfam family: Bacterial small subunit ribosomal RNA
Source: RNAcentral